CUUGGUCAGGUUUAUUUAUCAGCAUAACGAAUUCUUUGAUAAUUGAUGUCAUGUAAAUUCACUCAAAGAUAUAUAUGGAUUUUUCUAAGUCUUGUAUAACUAAACUAGGUCAAUUUAAAAGUAAGUUGACAUUGAACUUUGACUGAAACCAACUACUUUAUUGUGCAAUGCAUAUCGUGUGUUAUUUCUUUGCAAUUAACAGUGUAUGAGAAUAAAAACACACCAACAAAGAAAAACUUGUUAAAUAUAUCACUUUGAGGUGGCUACAAAGGAGUGGACUUUAAAAAUGUACAUGAUGUAUCUACUGAAAUAAGUUUUCUAACAUUACUAUGAUGUUUUAUUAUCAUAAUGAGUCUUAGCAAAUACAAAAAAGUAUUCCAUGUGGUCCAUUCUCUUCGUAAUAAGUCAAAAGUAGUAUACUGCUGUUCAAAAGUCAUGAAUCAAUUGAAGAAAAAACAAAUCCAGGGCUACAAAGCAAAACCUAGGGAACACAUCAACUAUAAGUGGAAAACAAACGAAUAACUGGAACACCUGAGAGCAAGAAAAACAAACACAAACACACAUUAUUGUGUUGUAGGAUCAAUUUCAAUCAUUGUUAGCCUCUGAAAUAGUUAUUACUGGAAUGUAAAACAAACACAUCUUUCAAUUUCUAUAAAAAGAAUUAUCUGCAGAUUUUAGUAGAAACUGGUUUCUUUUGAAUUAAAGUAAAAUAGUUGGAGGAGAGUGGUAUUUAGUCAAUUAGUUGCUAGCUUUUUGUGCCUUUAUUGUUCAAGCCAGGUUGUGAAAUUUUAAUUUACUUGUUUUCUUAUUGCAGAUAAUAUGAGAACACCAUCUUAUGAAUUAAGUUUAAGAUUGUAUAGACAUGUAUUUUUACAUUCACUUUAGAAUUAUAUAUGAUUGUAUUGGACACUUUUUUCUACUUUCACUUCAGAAUAAUAAUGAAUCACUGUUAUUCACUAUGUUACUGUAUAUGGGUUGUUA
This 981-nucleotide long non-coding RNA is filed under the name Mytilus galloprovincialis (Mediterranean mussel). Lineage: Eukaryota; Metazoa; Mollusca; Bivalvia; Mytilida; Mytilidae. The record is from RNAcentral.